NNNNNNNNNNCCGUAAGCCUCUUUAAGGAGUUUGGACUUCCAGGAAGUACACAUUCUCUGUUUUAGAACACUCUGGCAGAAGUAUGAUGAUUGGACUGUUACAUACAUUGGUGGGAGGAAGACAAUACAGGCUGGACACGGAAGAUAAAGCACUGGGCAUGAAGAGAAGUGAGUAGGUUCACCGAGCUAUCUGGAAUAACAGAAUAGGAUGAUGGGUUGGGUGUGAAGUGGGCGGGUUGAGAAUGACUCCUAGACCCCUCCUUGCCUUGAGCCACUAGGUAGAUGUACGUGCAUCUCACUGAGAGAGGGGAGGACAUACCAGACCUGGAAUAUUAAAAAAUUAAACAAAUGAUUUUUUAAAAAUUGUAAAAUACAUAGAACAUAAAAUGUGCCAUCUUAAUCUAACUGUAAAGUAUAGUAGUAAGUACUGGUGUAAGUACAUUCACAUUGUUGUACAACCAAUCUGCAAACCUGUUUUCAUCUUGCAAAACUAAAACCCUAUUCCCAUGAAAUGACCCCUCAUUCCUUCCUCCUCCAACCCCUGUCAAUAACCAUUCUACUUUCUCUAUGAAUUUGACAACUCAAGGCAGGUAUCUCAUAUACAUGGCAUUAAACAAUAUUUGUCUUUUGGGGACUGGUUUAUUACAUGUAGCAUAAUGUUCUUAAGGUUCCUCUGUGUUGUAGCAUGGGUUAGAAGUUCCUUCCUUUUUGAGGCUGAAUAUUCUUCCACUGUAUGUAUAUACCAUGUUUUGUCUAUUCAUUAAGGACACUUCGCUUGCUUUGACUUUUAGGCUAUUGUGACUAAUACGGCUAUGAACAUGGGUUUACAAGUAUCUUACAAGAUGCUUUCAAUCCUCAGAAGUGAAAUUUAUGGAUCACAUGCAACAGUUUAUGGCAAAAUAGUAACAUUUACUAUACUCAAGGAAAGAAUUGUGUAAGCCAAGAGUUUUAUAUUCUGCCAAAUGAACUGUCAAGCAUGAAUGCUGUAGAUACUCUUAUGAAUGAGUAAGAACUCAGCAGUUAUUGUUUCCAACAUCGUUCCUGAGAAAUCUCAGACAACUGAAGGGAUUGGGGAGUACAGACUCCGUAUUGGUCUGUGAGUAUCCAAUAUACAUUUACUAUAUAACUGAGACUAAGUGAUGACAUUAAGGGAAACAAUAUCAUAGGACAGUGAUGCUCUGAUAAUGUUGAUAUGGCACAAACGCUAGAAAAUGGUGGGAGAGGAACAGGGUACAUAUAUAAAGUAUAGUGUCAUCUUGCUAAAAGACUUGUUGGUUUUAAGGUGAAGUAAAAUGAUAUUUCAAAUUUAA
This 1310-nucleotide long non-coding RNA is filed under the name Mustela putorius furo (domestic ferret). Its description in RNAcentral is "lncRNA (ENSMPUG00000024018.1)". Lineage: Eukaryota; Metazoa; Chordata; Mammalia; Carnivora; Mustelidae. The record is from RNAcentral.